RNAcentral lists this ribosomal RNA (1476 nucleotides) under uncultured Bordetella sp. Its description in RNAcentral is "partial 16S-23S ribosomal RNA intergenic spacer". It matches the Rfam family "Bacterial small subunit ribosomal RNA". The record is from RNAcentral. Lineage: Bacteria; Pseudomonadati; Pseudomonadota; Betaproteobacteria; Burkholderiales; Alcaligenaceae.
UGAUUCUGGCUCAGAUUGAACGCUGGCGGGGAUGCUUUACAUGCAAGUCGAACGGCAGCACGGACUUCAGGUGCGGUGGCGAAGUGGCGAACGGGUGAGUAAUGUAUCAGGAACUAGUGCUAGUAGCGGGGGAUAACUACGCAGCGUAGCUGUACCGCAUACGCCCUUCGGGGAAAGCAGGGACAUGGGCCUCAUAUCAGAGCGGCCGAUAUCGGAUUAGCUACAGGUUGGUGGGGUAACGGCUCACCAAGGCGACGAUCCGCCAAGCUGGUUUGAGAGGACGACCAGCCACACUGGGACUGAGACACGGCAGCCCAGACUCCUACAGGAGGCAGCAGUGGGGGAAUUUUGGACAAUGGGGAAACCCUGAGUCAGCCAUCCCUGUGUGUGCGAUGAAGGCCUUCGGGUUGUAAAGCACUUUUGGCGGGAAAGAAACGGCACGGGAUAAUACCCCGUACAGCUGACGGUACCUGCAGAAUAAGCACCGGCUAACUACAUUACCCGGCAGCCGCGGUAAUACGUAAGUGCAAGCGUUAAUCCAGAUUACUGGGCACGUAAAGCGUGCGCAGGCGGUUCGGAAAGAAAGAUGUGAAAUCCCAGAGCUUAACUUUUGGAACUGCAUUUUUAACUACCGAGCUAGAGAUGUAUCAGAGGGAGGUGGAAUUCCGCGUGUAGCAGUGAAAUGCGUAGAUAUUGCGGAGGAACACCGAUGGCGAAGGCAGCCUCCUGGGAUAACGCGACGCUCAUGCGCAGCGUGGGAGCAAACAGGAUUAGAUACCCUGGUAGUCCACGCCCUGGCUGGAUGUCAACUAGCUGUUGGGGCCUUCGGGCCUUGGUAGCGCAACUAACGCGUGAAGUUGACCGCCUGGGGAGUACGGUCGCAAGAUUAAAACUCAAAGGAAUUGACGGGGACCCGCACAAGCGGUAGGAUGAUGUGGAUUAAUUCGAUGCAACGCAAGGCAUACCUACCGCUUGGCCUUAAUGCAGAUCCCGAAGAGAUUUGAGUGCUCGCGAAGAACCGGAACACAGGUGCUGCAUGGCGGCUGUCAUCAGCUCAUGUGGUAGAGAUCCGGGUUAAGUCCGCAACGAGCGCAACCCUUGUCAUUAAAUUUGCUACGAAAGGGCACUCUAAUGGACUUCACCAGCGGUAACAAACCGGAGGAAGGUGGGGAUGACGUCGAGUCCUCAUGGCCCAUAUGGGUAGGGCUACACGUCAUACAAUGGUCGGGACAGAGGUCGCCCAGCCGCGAGGACAAUCCCAGAAACCCGAUCGUAGUCCAGGAUCGCAGUCUGCAACUCGACUGCGUGAAGUCGGAAUCGCUAAGCAAUCGCGGAUCAGCAUGCUCGCAUGGUGGUCCGGGUCUUGUACACACCGCCCGUCACACCAUGGGGGUGGGUUUGCAAGAAGUAGUUAGCCUAGCCGUGAGGAGGCGAUUUACGUGAGAUUCAUGACUGGGGUGAAGUCAAUGUCAUUAG